This 460-nucleotide ribosomal RNA is filed under the name uncultured bacterium. RNAcentral's name for it is "partial 16S ribosomal RNA". It matches the Rfam family "Bacterial small subunit ribosomal RNA", at positions 338 to 795 of the family's 1533-position model. The record is from RNAcentral.
ACUACGGGAGGCAGCAGUGAGGAAUAUUGGUCAAUGGGCGCGAGCCUGAACCAGCCAAGUAGCGUGAAGGAUGACUGCCCUACGGGUUGUAAACUUCUUUUAUAAAGGAAUAAAGUGAGGCACGUGUGCCUUUUUGUCUGUACUUUAUGAAUAAGGAUCGGCUAACUCCGUGCCAGCAGCCGCGGUAAUACGGAGGAUCCGGGCGUUAUCCGGAUGUAGUGGGUUUAAAGGGAGCGUAGAUGGGUUGUUAAGUCAGUGGUGAAAGUUUGCGGCUCAACCGUAAAAUUGCUAUUGAUACUGGCAGUCUUGAGUACAGUGGAGGUAGGCGGAAUUCGUGGUGUAGCGGUGAAAUGCUUAGAUAUCACGAAGAACUCCGAUUGCGAAGGCAGCUUACUAAACUGCCACUGACAUUGAUGCUCGAAAGUGUGGGUAUCAAACAGGAUUAGAUACCCGGGUAGUC